GGGUUGUGAGGUUAAGCGACUAAGCGUACACGGUGGAUGCCCUGGCAGUCAGAGGCGAUGAAGGACGUGCUAAUCUGCGAAAAGCGUCGGUAAGGUGAUAUGAACCGUUAUAACCGGCGAUGUCCGAAUGGGGAAACCCAGUGCAAUUCGUUGCACUAUCGUUAACUGAAUACAUAGGUUAACGAGGCGAACCGGGGGAACUGAAACAUCUAAGUACCCCGAGGAAAAGAAAUCAACCGAGAUUCCCCCAGUAGCGGCGAGCGAACGGGGAGCAGCCCAGAGUCU
RNAcentral lists this ribosomal RNA (285 nucleotides) under Klebsiella pneumoniae. Its description in RNAcentral is "partial 23S ribosomal RNA". It matches the Rfam family "Bacterial large subunit ribosomal RNA", at positions 1 to 277 of the family's 2925-position model. Lineage: Bacteria; Pseudomonadati; Pseudomonadota; Gammaproteobacteria; Enterobacterales; Enterobacteriaceae. The record is from RNAcentral.